The sequence is a ribosomal RNA, 3048 nucleotides long. It matches the Rfam family "Bacterial large subunit ribosomal RNA". The record is from Rfam.
GGUCAAGAAGAAAAGGGCAUACGGUGGAUGCCUUGGCGCUAUGGGCCGAAGAAGGGCGCGGUAAGCUGCGAAAAGCUACGGGGAGCUGCAAGCAAGCCUUGAUCCGUAGAUACCCGAAUGGGGCAACCCGGCGGAGCAAACCUCCGUCACCCUAUGCUGAACACAUAGGCAUAGAGGAGGGCACCCGGGGAACUGAAACAUCUAAGUACCCGGAGGAAAAGAAAGAAACAUCGAACCCCUCAGUAGCGGCGAGCGAACAGGGGCGAGCCUAAACCAGAUUUCUUCGGAAAUCUGGGGUUGCGGGACCCUCAUCACGUGAAGACUAGACCUAGCCGAAGACACCUGGAAAGGUGCUGCACAGAAGGUAAAACACCUGUAGGCGAAAGGUCGAAAUUUGCAGAGGGGAUCCCAAGUACCGCAGGACACGUGAAACCCUGUGGGAAUCCGGGGGGACCACCCCCCAAGGCUAAAUACCCAUAGCGACCGAUAGUGAACAAGUACCGUGAGGGAAAGGUGAAAAGCACCCCGGGAGGGGAGUGAAAAAGAACCUGAAACCGUAUGCUUACAAGCUGUCAGAGCACGGUUAAAGUGUGAUGGCGUACUUUUUGUAGAACGGACCGGCGAGUUACAUCUAACGUGCAGGUUAAGUUGUGAAAGACGGAGCCAUAGCGAAAGCGAGUCUUAAUAGGGCGCAAUGUACGUUGGAGUAGACCCGAAACCUGGUGAUCUACCCAUGUCCAGAGUGAAGCUUUAGUAAAAUAAAGUGGAGGCUCGAACCGACCUUCGUUGAAAAGGAGGCGGAUGAGGUGUGGGUAGGGGUGAAAUGCCAAUCGAACCAGGAGAUAGCUGGUUCUCCCCGAAAUAGCUUUAGGGCUAGCCUCGGUUUGAGGUAUACGGAGGUAGAGCACUGAAUGGGCUAGGGGCCUUCACGGGUUACCGAACCCAAUCAAACUCCGAAUGCCGUAAUACCAUGACCGGGAGUCAGACUGCGGGUGCUAAGAUUCGUAGUCAAAAGGGAAACAGCCCAGACCAACAGCUAAGGUCCCCAAGACAUGCUAAGUGGAAAAGGAUGUGGGGUUGCAGAGACAACCAGGAUGUUGGCUUAGAAGCAGCCACCAUUUAAAGAGUGCGUAAUAGCUCACUGGUCAAGUGGCCCUGCGCCGAAAAUGAAACGGGGCUAAGCAUGACACCGAAGCUUUGGAUUCUCGAGGUUCGAUGUUCGAGAUUCGAUGUUCGAAAGGAGAUGCACUUGGUUCUUGUAAUGAAGUUGCAGUGCUACAAACAUGGAAAUAAUCGAAUUUCGAACUUCGAAUAUCGAACUUCGAGAAUGGUAGGGGAGCGUUCCUAGUUCGUAGAAGUCGUACCGAAAGGAGCGGUGGAGGACUAGGAAGUGAGAAUGCCGGUAUGAGUAAGCGAAAAGGCAGGUGAGAAUCCUGCCCGCCGAAAACCUAAGGUUUUCUGGGGAAGGUUCGUCCGCCCAGAGUAAGUCGGGACCUAAGCCGAGGCCGCAAGGCGUAGGCGAUGGACAAUCGGUUGAGAAUCCGAUACCACCAAUAACCGUUUGAGGAUGGAGUGACGCAGGAGGGUAGGUUAAGCCAGCGGAUGGAAAAGCUGGUCCAAGCCAGUAGGGAGUGUGGUAGGCAAAUCCGCCACACAUAAUCCUGAGAGGUGACGGGGAGCGAAAAAUAGUAGCGAAGUAACUGAUCCCAAACUGCCAAGAAAAGCUUCUAACGAGGUUGAUUGGUGCCCGUACCGCAAACCGACACAGGUAGGUGGGGUGAAAAUCCUAAGGCGCGCGAGAGAACCCUCGUUAAGGAACUCGGCAAAAUGACCCCGUAACUUCGGGAGAAGGGGUGCCUCGUUAUCGUGAAAGAAAAACUUCUGGAGCGAGAAGAGGCCGCAGAGAAAAGGCCCAAGCGACUGUUUACCAAAAACACAGGUCCCUGCUAAAGCGAAAGCUGACGUAUAGGGGCUGACGCCUGCCCGGUGCUGGAAGGUUAAGGGGAAAUGUUAGCGCAAGCGAAGCAUAGAACCGAAGCCCCAGUAAACGGCGGCCGUAACUAUAACGGUCCUAAGGUAGCGAAAUUCCUUGUCAGGUAAGUUCUGACCCGCACGAAAGGCGUAACGAUUUGGGCACUGUCUCAACGAGGGGCUCGGUGAAAUUGUAAUGACGGUGAAGAUGCCGUCUACCUGCGACAGGACAGAAAGACCCCGUGGAGCUUUACUGUAGCUUGACAUUGGGUUUUGGUAUUUGAUGUACAGGAUAGGUGGGAGACUUGGAAGUCGGGACGCCAGUUUCGAUGGAGUCGCCGUUGGGAUACCACCCUUUAGAUAUUGAAAUUCUAACUUAAUGCCUUGAAGCAGGUAUAAGGACAGUGUCAGGUGGGCAGUUUGACUGGGGCGGUCGCCUCCCAAAAGGUAACGGAGGCGCCCAAAGGUUCCCUCAGCGCGGACGGAAAUCGCGCGUUAGAGUGCAAAGGCAAAAGGGAGCUUGACAGCGAGACCAACAAGUCGAGCUGGUACGAAAGUAGGGCUUAGUGAUCCGGCGGUUCUGAGUGGAAGGGCCGUCGCUCAACGGAUAAAAGCUACCCCGGGGAUAACAGGCUUAUCUCCCCCAAGAGUCCACAUCGACGGGGAGGUUUGGCACCUCGAUGUCGGCUCAUCGCAUCCUGGGGCUGAAGUAGGUCCCAAGGGUUGGGCUGUUCGCCCAUUAAAGCGGUACGUGAGCUGGGUUCAGAACGUCGUGAGACAGUUCGGUCCCUAUCCGUCGCAGGCGCAGGAAACUUGAGAAGAGCUGUCCCUAGUACGAGAGGACCGGGAUGGACGGAUCACUGGAGUACCAGCUAUCGUGCCAACGGUAGCGCUGGGUAACUAUAUCCGGACGGGAUAAGUGCUGAAAGCAUCUAAGCACGAAGCCCCCUUCAAGAUGAGGUUUCCCACUACGCAAGUAGGUAAGAUCCCAUGCAGACUACGUGGUAGAUAGGCCGGGUGUGUAAGCACAGUAAUGUGUUGAGCUGACCGGUACUAAUAGAUCGAGGUCUUGACCAA